UACGUAGGGUGCGAGCGUUGUCCGGAAUUAUUGGGCGUAAAGAGCUCGUAGGCGGUGUGUCACGUCGGCCGUGAAAACCUGCAGCUUAACUGUGGGCGUGCGGUCGAUACGGGCAUCACUGGAGUUCGGCAGGGGAGACUGGAAUUCCUGGUGUAGCGGUGGAAUGCGCAGAUAUCAGGAGGAACACCAAUAGCGAAGGCAGCUCGCUGGGACGGUAUUGACGCUAAGGCGCGAAAGCGUGGGGAGCAAACAGG
This 254-nucleotide ribosomal RNA is filed under the name uncultured bacterium. RNAcentral describes it as "partial 16S ribosomal RNA". It matches the Rfam family "Bacterial small subunit ribosomal RNA", at positions 524 to 776 of the family's 1533-position model. The record is from RNAcentral.